AGAGAAAGAAAAAAGAAAAAAGAAGAAGAAGAAAAAGAAACCCUAGUAAAACCCUUAUAAAUUGGGCGCACUCAAAGCCCUAAUUUCAUUAACUACUUGAUCUUAUCUGAGCCGGGACUGAGAAAUUGAGGAUGGCGGCUCCAUGGCUAGUACCCGGAAUUCCCUUUCUCUUCCUCUCAAAAAUGGCGGAGCCACCCUCCCUUUUCUGCCAAGGCUGCUUUGGAGGCUCUGCCAUGGCUGAACAGAGAUACCUACAGGGAGUUCUUGGUGACAAUCACUUCCUCAAUCAAAGAAGUAAUGGCAGGAUAUAAAGAGACCCAUAAAAAAUCUUCAGAAGACGUGGCUGUGCGUAUGAGAAGAUAGGCUAUCAUGUUGCUUGAUAUGGAGCAUUAAGAAACAUUGUUGAAUUGGGACGAUCAAUCAAUCUUUCAUUUUCUUCAAUGAUGAUUUACUGGAGGUCUUAACAGAUUGGAGUUCGGUUUGUUCAUGGAUGGAACUAAUUUCAAAACGCCCAUCGAGUUUGUUCAUAGAUGGGGCUAAAUUCAGAAUGCCUGACACGUCGAAGAUGGAAUUCAGGGCUUGCUCAACUUUAGAAAGAAGUCAUUCUUCAUUAACUAAACUUGUAGAAGCUAAUUGAAUUGCAUAUGCUAUCAAUAUAUGACUCCCAAACUUUGUAUUUGUA
Molecule: long non-coding RNA, 682 nt
Organism: Cucumis melo (muskmelon)
Lineage: Eukaryota; Viridiplantae; Streptophyta; Magnoliopsida; Cucurbitales; Cucurbitaceae
Exons: 2
Source: RefSeq, a predicted model, not a curated record